RNAcentral lists this ribosomal RNA (324 nucleotides) under Panulirus inflatus. RNAcentral's name for it is "partial small subunit ribosomal RNA". Lineage: Eukaryota; Metazoa; Arthropoda; Malacostraca; Decapoda; Palinuridae. The record is from RNAcentral.
UCACCUAUUAUUAUAUUAAACACAUAAUCUUUAUUUAACUUCCGUUCAUUUAACCUUUACACUUAUUCACCUUCACUGGGCCAUCAAGUCUAACCGCGGCUGCUGGCACAAGUUUUAACCUGACCUGAGUAGGCUUUGCUUAAUCCACACUUAUCUGAUUCAUUAAAUUUUUAAUACUGCACCUCUAAAAAUUGUAGUUCACACUACCAAUCGCGUCGCACCCCCUCUUCGUAUUUAACGAACAGUGCUGUAAAUUACAAACUAAAAUUUGCAUGUAUUUUUCAAGCCAACUAAUAAAGGUAAUAGCAAGAAUCAAACUAUAGA